This is a long non-coding RNA of Salvia miltiorrhiza (redroot sage), 557 nucleotides long. RefSeq lists it as uncharacterized. Lineage: Eukaryota; Viridiplantae; Streptophyta; Magnoliopsida; Lamiales; Lamiaceae. The transcript is spliced from 3 exons. The record is from RefSeq and is a predicted model, not a curated record.
GUAAAAAUCUGUAGUUAAUAUUUUGCAUUGAACAUGUAGAUCGCCAUAUUAACAUAGAUUAGUUCUCCAAAUAAUAUUUAUUAGGACUGGUGGUCUAGAUAUGUUCAUAACAGAGAGAGAGCAUAAAGUCUUAAUUCACAACUUGAUUUCAAACAAUGUGGAUUUUUCAGGAACCGUUACAUGAAAGAAAUUAUUGAAGAGCUUAUGAAGAAUGGUCGCUUUUGCCUAUACAUUCACAUGAUAUUGAUGAAGUUCGUGUUGAGUGGGUGAAUCUCAUUCUUAGUCACAUAUAAAAAGUAGAGGAUAUGCUGGAAAUGAAGCAAAAACAGGAGACUUUUGCUGAAUUUUCCAUGAAGAUUCUUCAACAAUAGACUACUAGAUAUUGUUUUGAAAAAAAAUAUUGUACUCUUUGUUUUGUAUAUUUAAUCUCUUGUCGUUGUUAGCUUCAUUUCAGUGUACAUUAACAGAAUAUGAAAUAUUGUGAAAUUAUAUAUGACAAUUAUAAUUUUUUAGUGUAUCAAUAUUUGUAUUUCAUUUUUUGUUAAUUUUAAAUAAAA